GGAAACCCUGACGCAGCGACGCCGCGUGGAGGAUGAAGGUCUUCGGGUUGUAAACUCCUUUUCUUGGGGAAAAUGAUGAUGGUACUCAAGGAAUAAGCCACGGCUAACUCUGUGCCAGCAGCCGCGGUAAGACAGAGGUGGCGAGCGUUGUUCGGAAUUACUGGGCUUAAAGGGCGAGUAGGCGGUAGAGCAAGUCUGAGGUGGAAUCCUAUGGCUUAACCAUAGAACUGCCUUAGAAACUGCUUUACUUGAGUCAGUGAGGGGAGGGCGGAAUUCCUGGUGUAGCGGUGAAAUGCGUAGAUAUCAGGAGGAAGGCCUGUGGCGAAAGCGGCCCUCUGGCACUGUACUGACGCUGAGGCGCGAAAGCGUGGGGAGCAAACAGGAUUAGAUACCCUGGUAGUCCACGCCCUAAACGGUGGGCAUUAGGUGUAGGGCUCGUAAGGGUUCUGUGCCGAAGGGAAACCAUUAAAUGCCCCGCC
Molecule: ribosomal RNA, 479 nt
Filed under: uncultured bacterium
Lineage: Bacteria
Description: bacterial SSU rRNA
Rfam family: Bacterial small subunit ribosomal RNA
Source: RNAcentral